Chlorocebus sabaeus (green monkey) is the source of this 107-nucleotide small nuclear RNA. The record is from Ensembl. NCBI's taxonomy places the organism in Eukaryota, Metazoa, Chordata, Mammalia, Primates, Cercopithecidae.
GUACUCGCUUUGGCAGCACAUAUAUUAAAAUUGGAAAGAUACAGAGUAGAUCAGCAUGGCCCCUGCACAAGGGUGACAUGCAAAUUCAUGAAGCAUUCCAUAUUUUU